AUCGCUUCUUGGCCUUUUGGCUAAGAUCAAGUGUAAUAAAUAUAACAAAUAGAAAAUUGCUGCAAACAUGCUAUUCCUUAGUCCAAUGAUAUCAGUAAGCAGUUUAAAUAUGACUAGGCUGCACGCAUCAUUUAACACACAGAGAUUGUCAUAAUGAAUCGACUAGAAGAAGUCUCCACUCUAU
Small nuclear RNA from Ochotona curzoniae (black-lipped pika), 184 nucleotides. RefSeq annotates it as U2 spliceosomal RNA. Lineage: Eukaryota; Metazoa; Chordata; Mammalia; Lagomorpha; Ochotonidae. The record is from RefSeq and is a predicted model, not a curated record. The transcript has a single exon.